This 164-nucleotide ribosomal RNA is filed under the name Roscoea sp. JLZ-2014. RNAcentral describes it as "5.8S ribosomal RNA". It matches the Rfam family "5.8S ribosomal RNA". From Rfam's summary of the family: 5.8S ribosomal RNA (5.8S rRNA) is a component of the large subunit of the eukaryotic ribosome. It is transcribed by RNA polymerase I as part of the 45S precursor that also contains 18S and 28S rRNA. The record is from RNAcentral. Lineage: Eukaryota; Viridiplantae; Streptophyta; Magnoliopsida; Zingiberales; Zingiberaceae.
CAAAUGACUCUCGGCAAUGGAUAUCUCGGCUCUUGCAUCGAUGAAGAACGUAGUGAAAUGCGAUACUUGGUGUGAAUUGCAGAAUCUCGUGAACCAUUGAGUCUUUGAACGCAAGUUGUGCCCGAGGCCUUGUGGCCGAGGGCACGCCUGCUUGGGCGUCAUUA